CACAAUAAAAUAUGAAGGCUGUACGCGGCUGUGCUCUCGGGCCAGUUUUGCGGAGGCUGAAUUAUUUAUUACCCUUGUCUUUUGCGCACUUGUUGUUUCCUGGGCGGGUUCGCCCGCCACCAGGACCACAUCAUAAACCUUUUUUAUGCAGUUGCAAUCAGCGUCAGUAUAACAAGUGUAAAUCAUUUA
This 189-nucleotide unclassified non-coding RNA is filed under the name soil metagenome. RNAcentral's name for it is "partial internal transcribed spacer 1". The record is from RNAcentral.